RNAcentral lists this long non-coding RNA (2234 nucleotides) under Mytilus galloprovincialis (Mediterranean mussel). The record is from RNAcentral. Lineage: Eukaryota; Metazoa; Mollusca; Bivalvia; Mytilida; Mytilidae.
CCGGGAUAUUAUUCAGUUCUUGGUCGAGAUUGACAGACAUUUAGAUUCUAUGUUUAAUGAAUAAUCUCAUUUAUUACAUCAACAUUUUAUAUUAAAAAUAAAACAUAUAAUACAACAUUAAAAUAAAUAUAUGCUGCAUAACAAGCAUCCGUGUCAUUCAUUAAACACCUUUAUAGAAAAUGCACCCGACAUGGUUAGUAUUUCUCAUAUUGAAUUAUCACAGCAGGUAUAGGUUGAAACACUUUAAGUUCUUAUUCCUUUAAAAAAAGUUAAAGCAAAAUGAGUGCACACGCUGCAAUGCCUCGCUUUCUUAACUGUGCAGGAUUGAUUAAGUGUUGAAAGUCUUUAAGAUAAAGUCUCACAUACACUUAUCAUAAUCAAUGAUCCAUGAUUAAGGAAUCAUGGUCAACUAAACCUUAUCAGACAUGUCAAUCAAUACAUCAAAAACAGUUGCCCAAUGAACGAUGAAAUCAGGCAAAGGUUACAUGGUAGACAAUUAUGUACAUCUUAGUAAGCUACCAUUUGAUUUUUAGGGGGAGGGUCUAGGAUGAAAUUUGAAAAAAAAAAUAAGCAGGACAGGAGUUUUGAGUUAAAAAAGUCAGGAUAAACUAAAAUGAAAUGCAGGACCGAGUAGAGUGAAAAAUAUUUAAAGGCAGGACAAAGAUUACAACUUAAAAAAAAUGCAGGAUAAAACUUUUCACCCUAGCCUCCCCCCCAUAAAAAUCACACAGCAUUCCAUGCACCAGAUAUAGUUAACCUAUUGUUUAUAGUAUGAGAAACAGACUAAAUCAAUAAAACUUAACAUUGACAUAUAGUAUUUGAGAGGAGGACCAAAUAAUCAGACAUACUUCUUCACCUAACGGUCAUUUCAUGCACAAAAUAAAGUUAACCUAUUGCAAACAGUAUUUGUAAAACGGACAAGAACACAAAACUUUAACACAUGAACCAUUAAAAUGAAGUCAAGGUCAGAUGAAACCUGCCAGACUGAAAUGCACACUUUACAAUGAUUCUAAACACUACAUAUAUUUGACUUACUUUUUAUCGCAUCUGACAACCGACCGUGCAAGGACUGUAUAGCCAGUCAAGGACGUUAAAAACUCCCAUUUGUUGUCGCAUCUGAGAAACGGGCAUAAUCGUGUAACUUUAACCUUUAUCACUGAUCCAUGAAAUGAGGUCGAGGUCAAGUAAUUCCUAUCUUACCUCUGUUCACCAUAGUGAUAUCACACAAAAGUAGAAAAAUUACAAAAGGUAUCUUUAAACUAUAAACAUAAGAAUUUAAAAAAAAAACACAUAAGUUUUGUUUCAUAAAAAUAUAACAAAAAUACUUUUCUUUGAUUUUUAUCAUCAUUUAAUUUAACAAAAUGUUUAAUAUUAUUUGAACAUUCAGAAUAUUUAAAAAUUGUUAGUCAGGACAGCUUAUAUAUUUUUACUUUUUAUAUUGUAUACUGAAUUUGAUUUCCAAAUCAUCUUUAUAAAAGUUUUGUUUCAUUCAAAAGUUCGGAAAAAAUUAAAAUUUGGCAUCAGCAAUUUAUGUUCAUGACAGAUUAACUUAAAUUAUGAUUUCAAGUUGUUUUGUGUCAUUUUCAUUUUAAUGGAGGUAACAAUGUUAUAUUCUAAGCUCCGAUGGAAUCAAUGGUCAUUUAUCGCGUCGCCGGUAUACUGAAAUCACCAAUUGAAAAAUACAAUACAGUUAUCUCCUAAAUGAUGUUAAAAUGCAUCAUCAAUUCAAGUAAACAAUGGACUCCUUAUUAUGUAUAAACAAUUCAUGCAAACAAUAAACAAUACAUGGACUCGUUUUAUGUAUCAGCAAUGCAUGCGUAGUUAAGUUUAGACUAGAUAAUGAAAUGAAUGAAGAGUAAAUAAAAAAAAAAAAACUUUAUGACGGAAUGAUAAUAUUCUUUUUUAUCUUUGUUGAGAUUCGUUUGUUUAAUAUUUAUUCUAAUACAUUUCAUCUGGGACUAUAGUCCCAGAUUUCAUAAUGUGUUUUAUUAUAAUCAUGGUUACCUUUUAACUUAAAGAUACAUUCAUUACCUGGUAUAUGUUUUUAUUCUAUUUCUUUUCUACCAAAUUUAGUGUUUCGAAUAUUUUGAAAACACUUUAUAAACUUCAUAGAAGCUAUAUAUAAUUUUAAUGCAACAUCGUUUGUAACGGUCAUUUUGAUUGUAUAACAGGGGCGUAGCAGCCGGUACGGCAGGUACGGCACUCGCCGUACCAAUAAUGUUCGUUGGUACGGC